RNAcentral lists this transfer RNA (87 nucleotides) under Candidatus Gottesmanbacteria bacterium. RNAcentral's name for it is "tRNA-Ser". It matches the Rfam family "tRNA". From Rfam's summary of the family: Transfer RNA (tRNA) molecules are approximately 80 nucleotides in length. Their secondary structure includes four short double-helical elements and three loops (D, anti-codon, and T loops). Further hydrogen bonds mediate the characteristic L-shaped molecular structure. tRNAs have two regions of fundamental functional importance: the anti-codon, which is responsible for specific mRNA codon recognition, and the 3' end, to which the tRNAs corresponding amino acid is attached (by aminoacyl-tRNA synthetases). tRNAs cope with the degeneracy of the genetic code in two manners: having more than one tRNA (with a specific anti-codon) for a particular amino acid; and 'wobble' base-pairing, i.e. permitting non-standard base-pairing at the 3rd anti-codon position. The record is from RNAcentral. Lineage: Bacteria; Candidatus Gottesmaniibacteriota.
GGAAGGGUCGCAUAGUGGCCUAGUGCGCGCGCUUGGAGAGCGCGUAUCGCCGCAAGGUGAUCGCGGGUUCAAAUCCCGCCCCUUCCG